Molecule: long non-coding RNA, 264 nt
Filed under: Elaeis guineensis (African oil palm)
Lineage: Eukaryota; Viridiplantae; Streptophyta; Magnoliopsida; Arecales; Arecaceae
Description: long non-coding RNA (EGUI_LNC050515)
Source: RNAcentral
AGACGCAUCUGGAGUUCGAUAGGAGUAUUUCUCCGAUCUAUAUUGGGUUUUUAGGGCUUUAAGAGGCCCUGUGGCAACAGAACCGAGAGAGGCUAGCAGAGAAAGCCAUGAGGGUUCUUGGUAGCUAUCAGGAGAGUGUCCAAUGAGUGCCAAGGGUGUACAGCAGGCAGAGCAUCGAGGUAGAGUAGAGCGUCAGGCAGAGCAGCUACAGAGGCAAAGUUGUCUAGGGGUGUCGAGAAUUCUGGUAUUGGCAAGCCUGUGAGA